This 433-nucleotide ribosomal RNA is filed under the name uncultured bacterium. RNAcentral describes it as "partial 16S ribosomal RNA". It matches the Rfam family "Bacterial small subunit ribosomal RNA", at positions 29 to 507 of the family's 1533-position model. The record is from RNAcentral.
AACGAACGCUGGCGGCAUGCCUAACACGUGCAAGUCGAACGAGACCUUCGGGUCUAGUGGCGCACGGGUGCGUAACGCGUGGGAACCUGCCCUUAGGUUCGGAAUAACUCCCCGAAAGGGGUGCUAAUACCGGAUAAUGUCUUCGGACCAAAGAUUUAUCGCCUUUGGAUGGGCCCGCGUUGGAUUAGCUAGUUGGUAGGGUAAAAGCCUACCAAGGCGACGAUCCAUAGCUGGUCUGAGAGGAUGAUCAGCCACACUGGGACUGAGGCACGGCCCAGACUCCUACGGGAAGCAGCAGUGGGGAAUAUUGGACAAUGGGCGAAAGCCUGAUCCAGCAAUGCCGCGUGAGUGAUGAAGGCCUUAGGGUUGUAAAGCUCUUUUACCCGGGAUGAUAAUGACAGUACCGGGAGAAUAAGCUCCGGCUAACUCCGUG